RNAcentral lists this transfer RNA (71 nucleotides) under Devosia sp. MC532. Its description in RNAcentral is "tRNA-Arg". It matches the Rfam family "tRNA". From Rfam's summary of the family: Transfer RNA (tRNA) molecules are approximately 80 nucleotides in length. Their secondary structure includes four short double-helical elements and three loops (D, anti-codon, and T loops). The record is from RNAcentral. Lineage: Bacteria; Pseudomonadati; Pseudomonadota; Alphaproteobacteria; Hyphomicrobiales; Devosiaceae.
GCGCCGGUAAAAGUCGGGAUCUUGCCCUCCGAAGGCAGAGGUCGUGAGUUCGAAUCUCGCCGGGUGCGCCA